Non-coding RNA from Camellia sinensis, 522 nucleotides. Lineage: Eukaryota; Viridiplantae; Streptophyta; Magnoliopsida; Ericales; Theaceae. The record is from RefSeq and is a predicted model, not a curated record.
UAUCUAAACAUUUGUGCUACAAUUAAAUUUCUUUGUCCUAUUGUUGAACUGAUGUAACCUGAUUGACAUUGCAAGGUGCUGACAUGAGCUUACAAGAAUUUAUUUCAUUUCAACUACAGGAAAUACUCUAGAGUUAGGAAAUGGACCCUUGGUUUAUCAGGUGGUAAAGAUCAAAUUGUCAUAAUCAGAGCCUCCGGAAGCAUUAGUAGGGUACAGGGUCCAUUCAGUGUAUCUGGUUCGGGUAUUACUAGUGAGCAAUUUAUUGAGAAGAUCCGUAGUGUAAGAGAGUCAAAAAGAUAUAAGGUUGUUAUCAUCCGAAUUGAUAGUCCUGGAGGUGAUGCUCUUGCUUUUGAUUUGGAUGAUUUGCAAAUCCCUUCUUCUCCAUACUUCCCAGACUAUGACUAUGCCUAUGCACAAGGACAUGGACAAGGACCGCCCCUAAUGGUGCAAGAGCGUUUUCAGUGUGUUAUCAGUCAGCUUUUUCAGCAUGUAAGGGACUAUUUUUUUGGUUUUCUGUUCAAC